AGAGUUUGAUCCUGGCUCAGGAUGAACGCUAGCGGGAGGCCUAACACAUGCAAGCCGAGCGGUAUUGUUUCUUCGGAAACGAGAGAGCGGCGCACGGGUGCGGAACACGUGUGCAACCUGCCUUUAUCUGGGGGAUAGCCUUUCGAAAGGAAGAUUAAUACCCCAUAAUAUUUUGAAUGGCAUCAUUUAAAAUUGAAAACUCCGGUGGAUAGAGAUGGGCACGCGCAAGAUUAGAUAGUUGGUAGGGUAACGGCCUACCAAGUCAGUGAUCUUUAGGGGGCCUGAGAGGGUGAUCCCCCACACUGGUACUGAGACACGGACCAGACUCCUACGGGAGGCAGCAGUGAGGAAUAUUGGACAAUGGGUGAGAGCCUGAUCCAGCCAUCCCGCGUGAAGGACGACGGCCCUAUGGGUUGUAAACUUCUUUUGUACAGGAUAAACCUAUUUACGUGUAAAUAGCUGAAGGUACUGUACGAAUAAGCACCGGCUAACUCCGUGCCAGCAGCCGCGGUAAUACGGAGGGUGCAAGCGUUAUCCGGAUUUAUUGGGUUUAAAGGGUCCGUAGGCGGAUCCGUAAGUCAGUGGUGAAAUCUCAUAGCUUAACUAUGAAACUGCCAUUGAUACUGCGGGUCUUGAGUAAGGUAGAAGUAGCUGGAAUAAGUAGUGUAGCGGUGAAAUGCAUAGAUAUUACUUAGAACACCAAUUGCGAAGGCAGGUUACUAUGUCUUAACUGACGCUGAUGGACGAAAGCGUGGGGAGCGAACAGGAUUAGAUACCCUGGUAGUCCACGCCGUAACGAUGCUAACUCGUUUUUGGGCUUUCGGGUUCAGAGACUAAGCGAAAGUGAUAAGUUAGCCACCUGGGGAGUACGAACGCAAGUUUGAAACUCAAAGGAAUUGACGG
Molecule: ribosomal RNA, 903 nt
Filed under: uncultured Bacteroidota bacterium
Lineage: Bacteria; Pseudomonadati; Bacteroidota
Description: bacterial SSU rRNA
Rfam family: Bacterial small subunit ribosomal RNA
Source: RNAcentral